RNAcentral lists this ribosomal RNA (502 nucleotides) under uncultured bacterium. Its description in RNAcentral is "partial 16S ribosomal RNA". It matches the Rfam family "Bacterial small subunit ribosomal RNA", at positions 28 to 523 of the family's 1533-position model. The record is from RNAcentral.
GAUGAACGCUAGCGACAGGCUUAACACAUGCAAGUCGAGGGGCAGCAUAAAAGUAGCAAUACUUUGGUGGCGACCGGCGCACGGGUGAGUAACGCGUAUGCAACCUACCUAUCAGAGGGGAAUAACCCGGCGAAAGUCGGACUAAUACCGCAUAAAACAGGGGCACCGCAUGGUGAUAUUUGUUAAGAAAUUCGCUGAUAGAUGGGCAUGCGUUCCAUUAGGUAGUUGGUGAGGUAACGGCUCACCAAGCCGACGAUGGAUAGGGGAACUGAGAGGUUGGUCCCCCACACUGGUACUGAGACACGGACCAGACUCCUACGGGAGGCAGCAGUGAGGAAUAUUGGUCAAUGGGCGAGAGCCUGAACCAGCCAAGUCGCGUGAAGGAAGAAGGAUCUAUGGUUCGUAAACUUCUUUUGCAGGGGAAUAAAGUGCGGGACGUGUCCUGUUUUGUAUGUACCCUGAGAAUAAGGAUCGGCUAACUCCGUGCCAGCAGCCGCAGUAA